Long non-coding RNA from Solanum dulcamara, 863 nucleotides. RefSeq lists it as uncharacterized. NCBI's taxonomy places the organism in Eukaryota, Viridiplantae, Streptophyta, Magnoliopsida, Solanales, Solanaceae. The record is from RefSeq and is a predicted model, not a curated record. The transcript has 3 exons.
GUUGGGAAUACUUGUAACAAGUCUAGGGUAAGACUAUGCUUGGUCUUGUUAUAUACAAGUUUCCAUUGAUUAAGUUGGGAGGUGGAAUUUUUGGAAAAGUUAAAGGGCAAAAUUGGAAUUACUCAUGUGGAAAUAUCAUAAAAGGUUAGGGGUAAAAUUGGAAUUUCACAUGUGGAAAUACCAUAAAAGGUUAGGGGUAAACUUGGAAUUUUACCUAUGGAAAUACUAUAAAAGGUUAAGGGCAAAGGUGGAAUUUCAACUUGGAAUUAUUAGGAAAGGUGAGGGGCAAAAUGGUAAUUUCACAAGGAAGCAUUUUAGUCAUAAAAUCCUAGAGAUUUCUAGACAUUUUGAGAGAAGUAGAAGAUGAAAAAUUUAAGGAAAAACUAGAGAGAAAAAUCGGCCAUGGAGGGAGUGAAUUAACUCUCCAAAUUUCAUCCCCAAAAAUUAUAAUUUUCUAGUAUUCCUACUAAGUCAAGGGUGCUCUACAACAUGGUGUAAUUGUUUUGGAAGUUUGGGGACUUGUUUCCUUGAUUUGGAAGUGAAGAAGUUAGAAGAAAAAGAUUUUGGAGGAAACGGGAAUUGAAUUUGGACAAUCGUAAAACGUCAAAAAGGUACCGACGUUCGUUGUGCUGAGCCGCCUAUUUAGGACAUCUGCUGUGUUAUUGACAGUGCUCCUUUGUUCGGAGCUUGUAUUUUGGUACUGACUCUAUCUCUGUAUAUUUGUAUAUAUUGGUCAGGGGUACGACGGGGCCCUGUCCCGUCUUAUGACUAUGCUAUCAUCUGUAGAGGUCUGUAGACAGAGUUAUGUUGUGGGUUUUGGAUAUAUGGUUUGGAUUUUUGUGUGUUUUGUGACAGCCUUUCAA